Molecule: ribosomal RNA, 404 nt
Filed under: Actinomycetes bacterium
Lineage: Bacteria; Bacillati; Actinomycetota; Actinomycetes
Description: Actinobacteria bacterium partial 16S ribosomal RNA
Rfam family: Bacterial small subunit ribosomal RNA
Source: RNAcentral
UGGGGAAUAUUGGACAAUGGGCGCAAGCCUGAUCCAGCCAUGCCGCGUGAGUGAUUAAGGCCCUAGGGUUGUAAAGCUCUUUCACCGGUGAAGAUAAUGACGGUAACCGGAGAAGAAGCCCCGGCUAACUUCGUGCCAGCAGCCGCGGUAAUACGAAGGGGGCUAGCGUUGUUCGUAUUUACUGGGCGUAAAGCGCACGUAGGCGGACUAUUAAGUCAGGGGUGAAAUCCCGGGUCUCAACCCCGGAACUGCCUUUGAUACUGGUAGUCUUGAGUUGGAGAGAGGUGAGUGGAAUUCCGAGUGUAGAGGUGAAAUUCGUAGAUAUUCGGAGGAACACCAGUGGCGAAGGCGGCUCACUGGCUCGAUACUGACGCUGAGGUGCGAAAGCGUGGGGAGCAAACAGG